UUUUUUGGACCCUACAUGGCCACCAUAUUUCUCACAUCAUCAGCAGAUGGCUUCAAGAGCUGAAUCUGCUCGCAAUGUUUCUGUUCUGUAAGUUCAAGGAUAUCUCACCUUGCAUUCGUUGAACAUUUUGUUUCUGCUAUUCUUUAGGAAAAAAAAAACGGGUUCGCCAUUUCACCCAAUUUGGGGUACAUUUGGCCCGGUGCUUUGAAGCGCUUCACCUUGGCCCAAAAAUAAUCGUGUCCAUAGUUUCCCACUACGCAGAACCCGGAACCAUGAAAUUAAUUUACAGUAUCAUCUUGACAAUGACUACUACUGAGAAACUGACUGUUUUUUUUUGUUUUUUUUUACUUCCAAUUCUUCACACUCUACCCCCAAAUGUGCCCGCCGAGCAAAUCUGUUCUGCCGACUACGCUCUCCACUUGGGUGCGCUCCAGUGUGUCAUCACCUUCAUGGUCAAGCCGGCCCAAUCAACAUCUUCCAUGACCAACAGGCCGAGUGUCGGCUGGGAAGGACGACCGACCUCUGCGGCGGCCGGGGAGGAAAAUCGAUCAGGGGAAAGUGGACAGAAGGCUAUAUUUGUGACGCCGCCAAGCUGCAGAUGUUGCUUUCUGGAGGUUACGGCUGCAGAUUGAUGAGCCCCCGUCGCUGGCCCCCGGCACAUAUUUCACACGGAUGAAUCCGCUAAACGGGGACUGGCGUUUUUACGGUUGCCUUUUUUCGGUCCACAGGUUAGGUGGCAGGAUUAAGGGGGAGAGGCGGAUGUGGAAGUGUGGGCGAGAAAACGGGGGAAUGCCACGCGUCUGCUUUCGGGGAGCGGAAGGUCCGAUUGAUAUGCUUUACGUGAGGACCGAAGGACAAAGCGCUGAAAGGAGACUUUGGACUUCCUUCUGGGAUCAGUGGACAUUUCAUUACUCUCCAUUGUCCAAGGCGGACACGCUUAAGCCUUGGACGGGUGUUUCCGUUCCAUUUGGCGCGAUGAAUAACGAUGACGGGAGGGCCGGCCGACUUGAAAAGACGUAAGCGUGUCCAAGCUCAUGUUGGGUCAUUGAUUACCAAUGACAAACUGCUAUCGCAGAGUGGGCCAAAAUCAAUCGCUCGUUUAGCUUUCCGAGCGAAGGGCAUUGGCCAAUAGGGAAGGCGAAACAAGCCCUUGUCGCACCCCCAACCCCCCUCCCAACUGUAAACAACAACGACACCAUUCAUGUGAUGGACGAUUAACCUGCCGGCGCUUUACCUCGCACGUGACGCUUUUGUUUUCACACUUGCACCUCCGCAGGACUAAAUGUUUCAAUUCAUCUUUAUAUCCGUCGCGUUAUGUAUUUGGCGUCUUUUUUUUUUUUUUAUGACCGUCAUUUGAGGCAUCGUGCGCUUUACGUAAUGCUCCCAGUACAUCGUCACGCCUGUCCGGCUAAUAGCGACGCAGAUACAUUCUCAUAACCACCAGGCAGGAUGCCCGACCAUAAAGCUGAUUGAUUCUUGAUUCGUGUCGCAGUGCUCUCGUUUGACCACCAGAUGGUAAUAAAGUGCAUUCUUGGGCCUCGGGACUCGCGUGCUUGGAUGUUUGCUGCAGGGCGCUUGGAAUGGGACAAUUUAUUGCUCCCGGGACGGGAUCGCGGAUUUAAUCGAAUAAAACGGGAAUGAAGUUUAUUGUCACCGUCAUCGGAAAAAAAAUGGAAAUCUGUAUUGUAAGCAAAUGUAGAAAUGCGCAUUUCAAGGUCCACGUUGCUCUCACCCGGACAAGGAAGGCAA
Molecule: long non-coding RNA, 1749 nt
Organism: Hippocampus zosterae (dwarf seahorse)
Lineage: Eukaryota; Metazoa; Chordata; Actinopteri; Syngnathiformes; Syngnathidae
Exons: 2
Source: RefSeq, a predicted model, not a curated record